This 427-nucleotide ribosomal RNA is filed under the name uncultured prokaryote. RNAcentral's name for it is "bacterial SSU rRNA". It matches the Rfam family "Bacterial small subunit ribosomal RNA", at positions 355 to 796 of the family's 1533-position model. The record is from RNAcentral.
UGGGGAAUUUUCCGCAAUGGGCGCAAGCCUGACGGAGCAAUACCGCGUGAGGGAGGAAGGCUUUUGGGUUGUAAACCUCUUUUAUUAAGGAAGAAGAAAGUGACGGUACUUAAAGAAUCAGCAUCGGCUAACUCCGUGCCAGCAGCCGCGGUAAGACGGAGGAUGCAAGCGUUAUCCGGAAUUAUUGGGCGUAAAGCGUCCGUAGGCGGUUUAUCAUGUCCGCUGUCAAAGACUGCAGCUCAACUGUGGACCGGCAGUGGAAACUGAUGAACUAGAGUGCGGUAGGGGGAGAGGGAAUUCCCAGUGUAGCGGUGAAAUGCGUAGAUAUUGGGAAGAACACCAGUGGCGAAGGCGCUCUACUGGGCCGCAACUGACGCUGAGGGACGAAAGCUAGGGGAGCGAAAGGGAUUAGAUACCCCCGUAGUCC